UACGGAGGAUGCGAGCGUUAUCCGGAUUUAUUGGGUUUAAAGGGUGCGUAGGCGGGAUGCCAAGUCAGCGGUAAAAAUGCGGUGCUCAACCCCGUCGUGCCGUUGAAACUGGCGUUCUUGAGUGAGCGAGAAGUAUGCGGAAUGCGUGGUGUAGCGGUGAAAUGCAUAGAUAUCACGCAGAACGCCGAUUGCGAAGGCAGCUUACCGGCGCUCAACUGACGCUGAGGCACGAAAGUGCGGGUAGCGAACAGG
Molecule: ribosomal RNA, 252 nt
Filed under: uncultured Bacteroidales bacterium
Lineage: Bacteria; Pseudomonadati; Bacteroidota; Bacteroidia; Bacteroidales
Description: partial 16S ribosomal RNA
Rfam family: Bacterial small subunit ribosomal RNA
Source: RNAcentral